GUAGAUAUAGUUUAAACAAAACAUUAGAUUGUGAAUCUAGUAAUAGAGAUUAACACCCUCUUAUCCACC
This 69-nucleotide transfer RNA is filed under the name Ochotona macrotis (large-eared pika). RNAcentral's name for it is "tRNA-His". It matches the Rfam family "tRNA". Rfam says of the family: Transfer RNA (tRNA) molecules are approximately 80 nucleotides in length. Their secondary structure includes four short double-helical elements and three loops (D, anti-codon, and T loops). Lineage: Eukaryota; Metazoa; Chordata; Mammalia; Lagomorpha; Ochotonidae. The record is from RNAcentral.